RNAcentral lists this ribosomal RNA (660 nucleotides) under Triticum aestivum (bread wheat). RNAcentral describes it as "partial small subunit ribosomal RNA". Lineage: Eukaryota; Viridiplantae; Streptophyta; Magnoliopsida; Poales; Poaceae. The record is from RNAcentral.
AUGUACAACACGUAUGCCGGCAAGGUUGGGUUUAGUAUCAGAAAGAGCCAGACAAAACGCCGCCAAGAUCCAAGUAUAUACCAGAAAUAUAUAGUUUGCAGUAAUCAGGGAGAACGAGAAACUGAAUCAUCAAAGGCCACUACAAGAACAGGUUGUCAGGCUCGUGUUCAAUUUAGUGUCAGUAGAGAGGGGAUUUGUACAGUGCAAAAGGUUGUAACCGAUUAUAAUCAUUAUCUUGCUAGUCCCAAUAAGUUACACAUGCUGAGGUCCCAACGACGUGUUGUAGAAGCGGACAAAACGCUAAUUGGCCAGAUACGUGAAGCUGGGAUGAAGCCAUCUCAGGUGUAUGAUUUCAUGGUAGCGUUCUAUGGAGGAGGCGACAAAGUGCCAUUCUCAAAAAUGGAUUGCAAUAAUGAGAUUGGUAAGGAAAGGAAGAGGUAUUUAGAAUCCAAUGAUGCAAAAACACUGUUAGAAUACUUGAAGAAUAAGCAGAAGGAGGAUCCAACGUUUUUUUAUGCGAUUCAAGUAGAUGAGAAGGAUGGUCAGAUAGCUAAUUUUUUGGGGGCAGAUGGUCAGUCCAUUAUGGAUUAUGCAUGCUUUGGUGAUGCCGUAUCAUUUGACACCAUGUUUGAUAUCAUGAGAAGGAUGGUUGAAGUUUGA